RNAcentral lists this ribosomal RNA (755 nucleotides) under uncultured bacterium. Its description in RNAcentral is "bacterial SSU rRNA". It matches the Rfam family "Bacterial small subunit ribosomal RNA", at positions 8 to 796 of the family's 1533-position model. The record is from RNAcentral.
AGAGUUUGAUCCUGGCUCAGAAUCAACGCUGGCGGCGUGCCUAACACAUGCAAGUCGAACGAGAAAGUGGAGCAAUCCAUGAGUAAAGUGGCGCACGGGUGAGUAACACGUGACUAACCUACCCUUGAGUGGGGGAUAACCUAGGGAAACCUGGGCUAAUACCGCAUAAUACCUACGGGUCAAAGGAGCAAUUCGCUCGAGGAGGGGGUCGCGGCCGAUUAGUUAGUUGGCGGGGUAAUGGCCCACCAAGACUGUGAUCGGUAUCCGGCCUGAGAGGGCGCACGGACACACUGGAACUGAAACACGGCCAGACUCCUACGGGGGGCAGCAGUGGGGAAUUUUGCGCAAUGGGGGAAACCCCUGACGCAGCAACGCCGCGUGGAGGAUGAAGUCCUUCGGGACGUAAACUCCUUUCGAUCGGGACGAUUAUGACGGUACCGGAAGAAGAAGCCCCGGCUAACUUCGUGCCAGCAGCCGCGGUAAUACGAGGGGGGCGAGCGUUGUUCGGAAUUAUUGGGCGUAAAGGGUGCGUAGGCGGUUUGGUAAGUCUGAUGUGAAAUCUAUGGGCUCAACUCAUAGUCUGCAUCGGAAACUGCCGGGCUUGAGUGUGGGAGAGGUGAGUGGAAUUUCCGGUGUAGCGGUGAAAUGCGUAGAUAUCGGAAGGAACCCUGUGGCGAAAGCGGCUCACUGGACCACAACUGACGCUGAUGCACGAAAGCUAGGGGAGCAAACAGGAUUAGAUACCCUAGUAGUCC